AAACUUAAAGGAAUUGACGGGGGCCCGCACAAGCGGAGGAACAUGUGGUUUAAUUCGAUGAUACGCGAGGAACCUUACCUGGGCUUAAAUGAGGAGUGACAGCUGGCGAAAGUUGGUUUUCUUCGGACACUCUUCAAGGUGCUGCAUGGUUGUCGUCAGCUCGUGCCGUGAGGUGUCGGGUUAAGUCCCAUAACGAGCGCAACCCUUACUGUUAGUUGCCAGCGGGUAAUGCCGGGAACUCUAGCGGGACUGCCACCGUAAGGUGAGAGGAAGGUGGGGAUGACGUCAAAUCAGCACGGCCCUUAUGUCCAGGGCUACACACGUGUUACAAUGGCCGGUACAAAGGGCAGCUACACCGCGAGGUGAUGCUAAUCUCGAAAGCCGGUCUCAGUUCGGAUCGAAGUCUGCAACCCGACUUCGUGAAGUUGGAUUCGCUAGUAAUCGCGCACCAGCCAUGGCGCGGUGAAUACGUUCCCGGGCCUU
RNAcentral lists this ribosomal RNA (483 nucleotides) under uncultured Sphingobacteriales bacterium. RNAcentral's name for it is "bacterial SSU rRNA". It matches the Rfam family "Bacterial small subunit ribosomal RNA", at positions 897 to 1382 of the family's 1533-position model. Lineage: Bacteria; Pseudomonadati; Bacteroidota; Sphingobacteriia; Sphingobacteriales. The record is from RNAcentral.